This 561-nucleotide ribosomal RNA is filed under the name uncultured bacterium. Its description in RNAcentral is "bacterial SSU rRNA". It matches the Rfam family "Bacterial small subunit ribosomal RNA", at positions 338 to 916 of the family's 1533-position model. The record is from RNAcentral.
CCUACGGGAGGCAGCAGUGGGGAAUAUUGGACAAUGGGCGAAAGCCUGAUCCAGCAAUGCCGCGUGAGUGAUGAAGGCCUUAGGGUCGUAAAGCUCUUUUACCAGGGAUGAUAAUGACAGUACCUGGAGAAUAAGCUCCGGCUAACUCCGUGCCAGCAGCCGCGGUAAUACGGAGGGAGCUAGCGUUGUUCGGAAUUACUGGGCGUAAAGAGUACGUAGGCGGUUAUUCAAGUCAGAGGUGAAAGCCCGGGGCUCAACCCCGGAACUGCCUUUGAAACUAGAUAACUAGAGUCUUGGAGAGGUUAGUGGAAUUCCGAGUGUAGAGGUGAAAUUCGUAGAUAUUCGGAAGAACACCAGUGGCGAAGGCGACUAACUGGACAAGUACUGACGCUGAGGUACGAAAGCGUGGGGAGCAAACAGGAUUAGAUACCCUGGUAGUCCACGCCGUAAACGAUGAUAACUAGUUGUUCGGUCACUUGGUGACUGAGUGACGCAGCUAACGCAUUAAGUUAUCCGCCUGGGGAGUACGGUCGCAAGNUUAAAACUUAAAUGAAUUGACGG